Molecule: ribosomal RNA, 2927 nt
Filed under: Salmonella enterica subsp. enterica serovar Heidelberg
Lineage: Bacteria; Pseudomonadati; Pseudomonadota; Gammaproteobacteria; Enterobacterales; Enterobacteriaceae
Description: bacterial LSU rRNA
Rfam family: Bacterial large subunit ribosomal RNA
Source: RNAcentral
GGGUUGUGAGGUUAAGCGACUAAGCGUACACGGUGGAUGCCCUGGCAGUCAGAGGCGAUGAAGGACGUGCUAAUCUGCGAUAAGCGCCGGUAAGGUGAUAUGAACCGUUAUAACCGGCGAUUUCCGAAUGGGGAAACCCAGUGUGAUUCGUCACACUAUCAUUAACUGAAUCCAUAGGUUAAUGAGGCGAACCGGGGGAACUGAAACAUCUAAGUACCCCGAGGAAAAGAAAUCAACCGAGAUUCCCCCAGUAGCGGCGAGCGAACGGGGAGGAGCCCAGAGCCUGAAUCAGCAUGUGUGUUAGUGGAAGCGUCUGGAAAGGCGCGCGAUACAGGGUGACAGCCCCGUACACAAAAGCGCAUGUGCUGUGAGCUCGAUGAGUAGGGCGGGACACGUGGUAUCCUGUCUGAAUAUGGGGGGACCAUCCUCCAAGGCUAAAUACUCCUGACUGACCGAUAGUGAACCAGUACCGUGAGGGAAAGGCGAAAAGAACCCCGGCGAGGGGAGUGAAAAAGAACCUGAAACCGUGUACGUACAAGCAGUGGGAGCACAGGUUUACCUGUGUGACUGCGUACCUUUUGUAUAAUGGGUCAGCGACUUAUAUUCUGUAGCAAGGUUAACCGUAUAGGGGAGCCGUAGGGAAACCGAGUCUUAACCGGGCGUUAAGUUGCAGGGUAUAGACCCGAAACCCGGUGAUCUAGCCAUGGGCAGGUUGAAGGUUGGGUAACACUAACUGGAGGACCGAACCGACUAAUGUUGAAAAAUUAGCGGAUGACCUGUGGCUGGGGGUGAAAGGCCAAUCAAACCGGGAGAUAGCUGGUUCUCCCCGAAAGCUAUUUAGGUAGCGCCUCGUGAAUUCAUCUCCGGGGGUAGAGCACUGUUUCGGCUAGGGGGCCAUCCCGGCUUACCAACCCGAUGCAAACUGCGAAUACCGGAGAAUGUUAUCACGGGAGACACACGGCGGGUGCUAACGUCCGUCGUGAAGAGGGAAACAACCCAGACCGCCAGCUAAGGUCCCAAAGUCAUGGUUAAGUGGGAAACGAUGUGGGAAGGCCCAGACAGCCAGGAUGUUGGCUUAGAAGCAGCCAUCAUUUAAAGAAAGCGUAAUAGCUCACUGGUCGAGUCGGCCUGCGCGGAAGAUGUAACGGGGCUAAACCAUGCACCGAAGCUGCGGCAGCGACACUGUGUGUUGUUGGGUAGGGGAGCGUUCUGUAAGCCUGUGAAGGUGUGUCGUGAGGCAUGCUGGAGGUAUCAGAAGUGCGAAUGCUGACAUAAGUAACGAUAAAGCGGGUGAAAAGCCCGCUCGCCGGAAGACCAAGGGUUCCUGUCCAACGUUAAUCGGGGCAGGGUGAGUCGACCCCUAAGGCGAGGCCGAAAGGCGUAGUCGAUGGGAAACGGGUUAAUAUUCCCGUACUUGGUGUUACUGCGAAGGGGGACGGAGAAGGCUAUGUUGGCCGGGCGACGGUUGUCCCGGUUUAAGCGUGUAGGUGUGUGUUCCAGGUAAAUCCGGUUCACUUUAACACUGAGGCGUGACGACGAGGCACUACGGUGCUGAAGCAACAAAUGCCCUGCUUCCAGGAAAAGCCUCUAAGCAUCAGGUAACAUCAAAUCGUACCCCAAACCGACACAGGUGGUCAGGUAGAGAAUACCAAGGCGCUUGAGAGAACUCGGGUGAAGGAACUAGGCAAAAUGGUGCCGUAACUUCGGGAGAAGGCACGCUGACACGUAGGUGAAGUGAUUUACUCAUGGAGCUGAAGUCAGUCGAAGAUACCAGCUGGCUGCAACUGUUUAUUAAAAACACAGCACUGUGCAAACACGAAAGUGGACGUAUACGGUGUGACGCCUGCCCGGUGCCGGAAGGUUAAUUGAUGGGGUCAGCGCAAGCGAAGCUCCUGAUCGAAGCCCCGGUAAACGGCGGCCGUAACUAUAACGGUCCUAAGGUAGCGAAAUUCCUUGUCGGGUAAGUUCCGACCUGCACGAAUGGCGUAAUGAUGGCCAGGCUGUCUCCACCCGAGACUCAGUGAAAUUGAACUCGCUGUGAAGAUGCAGUGUACCCGCGGCAAGACGGAAAGACCCCGUGAACCUUUACUAUAGCUUGACACUGAACAUUGAGCCUUGAUGUGUAGGAUAGGUGGGAGGCUUUGAAGCGUGGACGCCAGUCUGCGUGGAGCCGACCUUGAAAUACCACCCUUUAAUGUUUGAUGUUCUAACGUGGACCCGUAAUCCGGGUUGCGGACAGUGUCUGGUGGGUAGUUUGACUGGGGCGGUCUCCUCCUAAAGAGUAACGGAGGAGCACGAAGGUUGGCUAAUCCUGGUCGGACAUCAGGAGGUUAGUGCAAUGGCAUAAGCCAGCUUGACUGCGAGCGUGACGGCGCGAGCAGGUGCGAAAGCAGGUCAUAGUGAUCCGGUGGUUCUGAAUGGAAGGGCCAUCGCUCAACGGAUAAAAGGUACUCCGGGGAUAACAGGCUGAUACCGCCCAAGAGUUCAUAUCGACGGCGGUGUUUGGCACCUCGAUGUCGGCUCAUCACAUCCUGGGGCUGAAGUAGGUCCCAAGGGUAUGGCUGUUCGCCAUUUAAAGUGGUACGCGAGCUGGGUUUAGAACGUCGUGAGACAGUUCGGUCCCUAUCUGCCGUGGGCGCUGGAGAACUGAGGGGGGCUGCUCCUAGUACGAGAGGACCGGAGUGGACGCAUCACUGGUGUUCGGGUUGUCAUGCCAAUGGCACUGCCCGGUAGCUAAAUGCGGAAGAGAUAAGUGCUGAAAGCAUCUAAGCACGAAACUUGCCCCGAGAUGAGUUCUCCCUGAGACUUAGAGUCUCCUGAAGGAACGUUGAAGACGACGACGUUGAUAGGCCGGGUGUGUAAGCGCAGCGAUGCGUUGAGCUAACCGGUACUAAUGAACCGUGAGGCUUAACCUUACAACGCCGAAG